RNAcentral lists this ribosomal RNA (492 nucleotides) under uncultured bacterium. RNAcentral's name for it is "bacterial SSU rRNA". It matches the Rfam family "Bacterial small subunit ribosomal RNA", at positions 40 to 507 of the family's 1533-position model. The record is from RNAcentral.
CGGCGUGCCUAACACAUGCAAGUCGUACGAGAAAGUUGGCUUCGGCCGAUGAGUACAGUGGCGCACGGGUGAGUAACGCGUGGAUAAUCUGCCCUUAAGUGUGGAAUAACGUACCGAAAGGGUGCGCUAAUACCGCAUAAUGCCUGGCAACAUAAGUUGUCCGGCCAAAGAAGGCCUCUGCUUGCAAGCUUUCGCUAAAGGAUGAGUCCGCGUACCAUUAGCUAGUUGGUGGGGUAACGGCCUACCAAGGCGACGAUGGUUAGCUGGUCUGAGAGGAUGAUCAGCCACACUGGAACUGAGACACGGUCCAGACUCCUACGGGAGGCAGCAGUGAGGAAUAUUGCGCAAUGGGGGCAACCCUGACGCAGCAACGCCGCGUGUGUGAAGAAGGCCUUUUGGUUGUAAAGCACUUUAAGCGAGGAGGAGGAGCUCUAGAUUAAUACUCUAGAUGCUUGGACGUUACUCGCAGAAUAAGCACCGGCUAACUCUGUG